UUUUUUACUAUGUAGCACCGUGGUCCAGCUGAUGGUGUCGCGGUUCUGCUCGGGCGCCAUUGCCUGAAGGUCGCUGUUGCCGGUGACGAGGACAGAUGGGAGGACGCUGCCGCAACGGAUCUGCUCCCCAUUCCCCUCCACCGUCGGUGACCAUGUGCGGGUAUCUCCCGGGAUCCAGGUGUGGUCUCGCCGCCAUGGAUGCCAGAGGAGGAAGAGGCGCUCUUCCAUGUCGGCUACAGGAGAAAGAGGAGGAGGAGGCGCUUCUCCGGCCAGACCCGGAGUCGGGGCCGGCACGCCACAGGCAUCUACGCCUACGACCACGACCACACGCACGGGCUGACGCCGCUGAUGAAGAUGCGUACCCUUAGCCACGAAUUUGUCCCCGAUCCCAUCCAUGCAGGUGGGCUUCGCUGCCAUGGAAUGACACCUCUGAUCUCCCAUGUAGAUGAGCUCGGGUUCAUGGAAGCCAUGUCCAUAAAGCAAACUGAGUGCUUCGAAGUUUUGUAGAAAAGGAAUCGGAAGCUCGGAGAGACCUCGCGUCAAUCAACAGGUUUGACUCCUUUUAGUCUUUGGUUAUUUUCAAAGUGAAAACCCAUGAAAUGUCGGGAUCAAAAUCCCAGGUCAGAUGGAACUAUGGGCAUUCAUGAUUACUGUACAAGUAACCGAUUUCGUGGAGCAUGCUUCUUACUUUCUUGUCUGAAUGCUUAAUAGUAUAUUACCCUUGCAAUGUAAUGGAACCAUAGACUUUAUACCAUUGAGUGUAUGAAACACUGCAUAUAUUUUUCUAUUUUUUACUCAACAACAACCAAUCAGUGUCAAUGAAGGGUCUCUUACAUUUAUUAGCAGUUACGACCAUUUCCGGAGUACAUACAAACCAGAAAAGUGGAAGCAAAACAAAAUUUGGAUCACAUUUUAGAUCUGUUGUUGAAAACAAAGUUUCUAUCAGGAUUUAGAUAUGUUAUUUCCUUGUUCUAAUCAGCAUAAACUGAAUUCUCUUAUCUGAUUGCAAAUUAUCAUCAAACUGUGGUGUUUCAUCGAGGAUGAUCUUUAUCAACAAUGAGGAGGAUUUGCAAAAUAUGAGAUUUCAAAUGGCUUGAAUAGGAAGAGAUGCAGAUCAUUAUUCUGGACAGUUUUAAUCAAGGACAAUUGAAGCCUAUUGAUUUUGAAUCGUUGACACAUGGUUUGCUUGAGACAAGCGAAGCUGCCAAGGUGAUUUGUACACCUAAACUGCUUCAAGUAUUUGCCUGAUUUGCAUGGCAAGAAUAGUAGGAUUAUACAGGUUAAUGUCAAGGGCUUGAAACGUGUGAGGGAAGUAAACAUGGAUCUGAUGGUGAUGGGAAUCUUUCUUAUAAAGAAAGAUACAUAGGGUGUAUUAUCUGGUGCAUAUUAGAUAAUCAAAGUUGAUGCAUAUGUUACAGAUCUUCCCCGCGAGGCGCUACAGAUCACAUGGGCACUGUCAUGAAGGCCGCGAAGGCGUGGCCGGCGGCAUGGGUUAGCCUGUGGGUGGUACCACCAUGCUGCUCUCGACAUGCAUUGUGGUGCUGCUCGUGGCGGCUUUCGGAGGGAGACAAAGUGCAGAACAUAGAGAAUUUGGGAGCUCCUCGGGUUUGGAUCAGCAAGCCAUGUCCGUUUGGUUUGGCAAAGGAAGGCCUUUUAUCCUUUUUCUAGAAUGCCAUGAACAUCUCUGAAUUUUCACACUGGUUCCGACCGAUGGUUAAUAUUUUUUUGAACAUAUUUGUGACUGGAGCCCACACAUACAUAGUCAUGGAUCUGAUUUUGUGUUUUGGACCUUGCUAUUUCACUGAUUUGGAACAUGUAUAUGCAGUUCUAGGCUUCUAGCUAGAUGGAUUAAUAGAUAUGUUGGACCUAUGCAUUUUAUAUUACCCGCAUGGAUCUAUGUUUAUUAUUUGAUGCUCCUCCUUAUCCUGGAGAAGAAUUUUUGCAAACAGUUGUCAUAUUUGGAGA
Long non-coding RNA from Triticum aestivum (bread wheat), 1965 nucleotides. RefSeq lists it as uncharacterized. The transcript has 8 exons. The record is from RefSeq and is a predicted model, not a curated record. NCBI's taxonomy places the organism in Eukaryota, Viridiplantae, Streptophyta, Magnoliopsida, Poales, Poaceae.